This is a long non-coding RNA of Lutra lutra (Eurasian river otter), 424 nucleotides long. RefSeq lists it as uncharacterized. The record is from RefSeq and is a predicted model, not a curated record. Lineage: Eukaryota; Metazoa; Chordata; Mammalia; Carnivora; Mustelidae. The transcript is spliced from 3 exons.
AGGUAAGCAAGUCACCUCUUGUUAGCAGUGUUAUCUACAAAUGUGCAGAUUCCUUAGAAGCUACAACGUCUUCGUUUUUCUUUGGACUUUUUGGCUGCAACUUUUGAAUCAGGAAAUGUAACUUCAUUCAAUAUCGUGGAGCGGUCAAGUUGCCAUGGGGUUGUUUCUACCUCCAUUCCAACCAAGUCAAAUGGGAAACGAGCAUGAAGGAUUUUUAAGUGAAGGAAUAUUGAGUGAAAGAUUUUUAUGAGCCAAGGCUGGAAGUUCCGUCAUCAAUUUGACCCACGUUCCGCGGACCAGAAUUCACAGAGCAGUUUAUGUCACCAGAGACAUGAAUGAAAAACCUCAACUGAAGAAAUGACAUGUUCCUAGAAUGUUUUAUGGCUUUAUGGCUAGUUGAUAAAAUUAUUCUGAAAGUUAUCUA